RNAcentral lists this ribosomal RNA (392 nucleotides) under uncultured bacterium. RNAcentral's name for it is "partial 16S ribosomal RNA". It matches the Rfam family "Bacterial small subunit ribosomal RNA", at positions 339 to 728 of the family's 1533-position model. The record is from RNAcentral.
CCUCGGGUGGCAGCAGUGAGGAAUAUUGGUCAAUGGCCGUAAGGCUGAACCAGCCAAGUCGCGUGAAGGAAGAAGGAUCUAUGGUUUGUAAACUUCUUUUAUAGGGGAAUAAAGGUAUCCACGUGUGGAUAGUUGCAUGUACCCUAUGAAUAAGCAUCGGCUAACUCCGUGCCAGCAGCCGCGGUAAUACGGAGGAUGCGAGCGUUAUCCGGAUUUAUUGGGUUUAAAGGGUGCGUAGGUUGUUUUUUAAGUCCGAGGUGACAGUUUGUGGCUAAACCAUAAAAUUGCCGUUGAAACUGGAAGACUUGAGUGUGUUUGAGGGAGGCGGAAGGCGUGGGGUGGCGGUGAAAGGCAGAGAUAGAACGCAGAACUCCGAUUGCGAGGGCAGCUUA